Colobus angolensis palliatus is the source of this 213-nucleotide unclassified non-coding RNA. Its record names the gene 7SK. It matches the Rfam family "7SK RNA". Rfam says of the family: 7SK was discovered as an abundant small nuclear RNA in the mid-70s but a possible function has only recently been suggested. Two independent studies have found that 7SK RNA binds the CDK9/cyclin T complex (known as elongation factor P-TEFb). The record is from Ensembl. NCBI's taxonomy places the organism in Eukaryota, Metazoa, Chordata, Mammalia, Primates, Cercopithecidae.
GGUUGCCUUCUUCCUUCCUCUCAAAUCCACGUACAUCCCUCCCCAGACUGUGCAGUCAGUUGAAGAAGACAAUCUUCUCUGAUUGAAGAGAAUUGUUCUUCAGUCAAAGGUACAUGUGUAGCUGUGCUUGCUUGCUAGAACCUCUAAUCAAGUGCUUAGAGCCCCUUUCACUCUUAUCUUUCAUCUGCUGACCAGAGGCAGAAGACUCUGGAA